CUUAGUUUAGAACCUCUUACUCCUAUCUGUCGAUUCAUGAAGAAAAGAAGGACGCGGAUAGGAGGAGAAUAUCGGGGUAUUCGAGUCCAAGCCGUCCCUUCAGCAGACUCUCUUUCUGUGCCUACCGAUGGGAACGAAGAAGGCUCGGUUGCAUCAUCUCCCCGGAAAAGAGACCUAGGUUAACAAAUUCCGAUUGCUACGAUGAAUUAAGUCAGCAAGAAAAUGAUUUCCUUGUCGAACUUUCCAGCCCAGAAAUAUCUAUGCAUUCUGAAGAUGAGGCUAUUACUUCCGGCCAUGAACUCUUUGGUUGCGUCACCGUAGCAUCCCCCCAGAAGAAAAAACCUAGGUUGUCCAAUUCCGAAAGCUGUCACCUACUAAAUCAGCAUGAAAAUGAUUUAGUAGUCCAACUUUCCGGUACGGACUUAUCUAUGGAUUCUGGGGUUGAGGCUGUCGCUCUCAGCCAAGACCUCAGCGCACAAGAGUUCAUCGAGUCAUAUGCUACAGAACAUUCACUUUCCACUUCAGAAAGUGAAUCUGAAACUUUAGCUCGAAAUGAAUCUCUCUCCAUUGGAGUUGAUUCUCCGGUGCCAACAAAAAAAAAGCGAAAACUGCAUUUCUGGGGAGCCAGAAAGAGUCGGUGGUACAAUAAGCAGUACGCUCUGAUUCGCAAGGAAGUCGCAAAAAAUGUGUCGGAAGCAUUUUCCAGUGCAGAACUUCUCAGACGCUACAACGACGAUAAGAAUAAAAAAAAGCGUGGUUCCAAGCAGAAAUCAUCUUUUCUUGUUAGAAAGAAAAAAGGAAAAGUUUCUUCGAAAGGUAACGGUGCACCCAUGGGUAAAAAUGUUGCUCCACCGCCUGAAGAUGAUCUUCAAAAUAUAAAUAACUUUCCACCGAUAAGAGUAGGAAAUACCACCACUCAAGAAGAGGUGGAAGAGAAUGUCGAGAAUCCUGACUCCUCUGCACCUCGACCAGGGCCCGUCCAGACUUGUUCGAUUGACAGGCGCUGUGAGCAGCCACUUUCGGUUUCAAAGAGGAAUCAUCCCUCAAGGCUAGCAGCCCGACUUUCGAGGCCCUCUAAGUUCCGGAGGAACGUACCGAAAGCCAGCAUUAACCGACCGAUUUUCAAUAAAACUUUCAAAAGUUUCAAAGUUUACUCCAGAGGUAAAUUAAGAAGGAAUGUCUUCAUACUCCAAUCUCCCGAGGGUAUGAUUGAAAAAAAUAUCUCUUUUCGUUUAAAAGGCUCUCAAGUAAGCGCAGCGAUGGAAGCCGAGACCUUGGUUAAAUGGUGUAUGAUCCAUCGUAAAAGGUUGCUCGCUCAGUUCAAAAGUGUUCAUAAAGAAUUGGUGUCUGAAUGCGAUACUCGACUCACCAUCGCUAGAAAUCUCUCGAAAGAAGACGAUUGUUGUGCCGCCAUUUUGGGCCCCAAACAACAUACCUCGUUCACUGAGAGUUAUUUUAAUGAGCUCUCUUACAAGACCGUCCCUUCAGCUCGUGGUCCCCUCAUCCUCGAUGAGGAAGGCGUAGUUCAAAAUGUCUUUCGAUACUGGGAAAAUGCUCGCAAAUCUCAUAAGUGGCCUUGCGAAAGUGAC
This 1589-nucleotide long non-coding RNA is filed under the name Bemisia tabaci. Its description in RNAcentral is "lncRNA ENSSSA2NGG008474". Lineage: Eukaryota; Metazoa; Arthropoda; Insecta; Hemiptera; Aleyrodidae. The record is from RNAcentral.